This is a long non-coding RNA of Pongo pygmaeus (Bornean orangutan), 4107 nucleotides long. RefSeq lists it as uncharacterized. Lineage: Eukaryota; Metazoa; Chordata; Mammalia; Primates; Hominidae. The record is from RefSeq and is a predicted model, not a curated record. The transcript is spliced from 3 exons.
AGUGCGGGGCGGGCGGCUCCGGGGGGUCUUCAGGCUCCGGGCACAGCCAUGCGCCCGCCGCGUUCUCUGGAGACGCUCGCUCUCGGAGGGACCCUGCAAUUGCCCGAGCCCGAGAGUGGGCGCUGCCUGAAAGUUUGUCCCUGGGCGCUUCGCUGGCCUCAUCCGGUCUCGGCCCUGUUCUGGGUCUGGCGCCGUUCCCUUUGUUGGGGAAAGUGGUCUAGGAGACCAAGGCAGCGUGCUGGGUGGCAGAGAAUGAUUUGUGGCUUCUGAUUCUGACAUAUGUCGUUGAGGAGGGGAGGGAUGACUGCCCCUGUUUUACUUAUGGAGAACCUGGGGCCAGAACUGUUUUCCCAGGAUGACACAGGCGGUGUAUACAGAGCUCUAACUGUCCUGUUCCAUCCAAAGGGGGAAAACCAAGAAGCACUUGUGAAGUUAACAUUUCAGAGACAGAGGAUCACUAAAAGGCUGAGACCUAAUCAUAGGACUGUGAUCACUCUUCUGUCCUUUGCCACCUUACUAUGACAUUACUAUAGGGCCUACUAACUGCAGUUCCUCUUACCCAGUACAUCAUGUCUGAUGUCAAGAAAAAAAAAUUUACAAGUCAUACCAAAAGGCAAAACACAAAGUUUGAAGAAAAAGAGCCAGCAUCAGACCCAGACUCAGAUAUGGCAGGAGUGUUAGACUUAUCAGACUGCGAAUUUAAAACAACUACAACUAAUAUACUAAGGGCUCUAAUGAAUAAAGUAGACAGCAUGCAAGAACUCAUUAAGCAGAGAGAUGGAAACCCUAAGAAAGAAUAAAAAGAAAGGCUAGAGAUCAGAAACACUGUUAUAGUGAUGAAAAAUGCCUUUGAUAGGCCCAUGAGUAUAAUGGACAUGGCUGAAAAAAGAAUCUCUAACCUUGAGGAUAUAUCAAUAGAAACUUCCAUGACAGAAAAGCAAAGAACAAAGAGACUGAAAAAGUGAAACAGACUAUUCAAGAACUGUGUGACAACUACAAAAAAAAAUAAUAAUAAUAACAUACAUAUAAUGGGGAUGCAAGAAAGAGAAGAGAAACAAAGAGAAGAGAAAGAAACAGAAAAAAUAUUUAAAAUAAUAGUAGCUUAAGCAACAUAGGGAGACCCCAUCUCUACAAGAAAAUUAAAAAAUUAGGGGGGAGUGGUGCACACCUCUGGUCCCAUCUACUCAGUGGGGUGAGGUGAAAGGAGCAUGUAAGCCCAGGAGGUCAAAUCUGCAGUGAGCCAUGAUUGCACCACUGCACUCCAGCCUGGGUGACACAUAAAAAGAUGUGGUGGCACACACCUGUAGUCCCAAGUACUUGGGAGGCGGAGGCAGGAGGAUCGCUUGAGUCUGUACAGGAGUUCCAGGCCGCAGUGCACUAUGCCGGUUGGGUGUCUGCACUAAGUUUGGCAUUAGUAUGGUGACCUCCGGGGAAUGGGGGACCACCAGGUUGCCUAAGGAGGGGAGAAUUGGCCCAGGUCAGAAACAGAGCAGGUCAAAAUUCCCUUGCUGACCACACCUGUGAAAGGCCACUGCACUCCAGCCUGACCAACACAGCGAGACCCCACCUUUUAAAUAAAUAAACAAAAAAAGAAUAAUGACAGAGAUUUUCACCAAAUUAAUAUCAGGCACCAAACCAUAGAUCCAGGAAGCUCUGUGAACACAAACCAGAAUAAAUGCCAAAAAACUCUACCCAGGUAUAGCAUAUUCAAACUAGAAAUCAAAGAUAAAUAAAACACUACUGGAGGCCAAGGCAGGUUGACCAGAGGUCAAGGUGGGUGUAUCACUUGAGGUCAGGAGUUCGAGCCAGCCUGGCCAACAUGGCAAAACCUCAUCACUACCAAAAACACAAAAAUUAGCUGGACGUAAUGGGGGGUACCUGUAAUCCCAGCUACUUGGGAGGCUGAGACAGGAGAAUCACUUGAACCCAGGAGGUGAAGGUUGCAAGGUUGCAGUGAGCUGACAUUGCACCACUGUACUGCAGCCUGGUGACAAAGCAAGACUCUAUUCCAAACAAACAAAGAAACAAACAAACAAAAACUAUUGAAAGAAGCCAGAGGAAAAGCCACCUUACCUAUAGGGAGCAAAGAUCAGGAUAACAUCCACCUUCUCCUCAGAAACCAUGCAAACAAGAAGAGUGUGAAGUGAAAUAUUUAACAUUUGAGAGAAAAAAAUAAACAACCUGGAAUUCUGUACCCUGUAAAAUUAUUCCUCAAAACUGAAGAAGAAAUACAGACUUUCUCAGACAAACAAAAAUUGAGGGAAUUUAUUGUUAGUACAUGUGCCUUGUAAGAAAUACCAAAAGAAGUUCUUCCAAGGGAAAGAAAAACAUACAAGUCAGAAACUUGGAUCUAUAUAAAGAAAGAGAGCACUGAAAAAGGAAUGAGUGAAGAUAAAAUAUUCUGGAGGCUGGGAAGUGCAAAAUCCAGGAGCCAUUAGUUUCAUUGUCAGGUGAGUGUCUGGUCUCUGUUUCCAAGAUGUCACCUUGAAGGCUGCAUCUUCCAGAGAGGAGGAGUGCUGUGUCCUCACAUGGCAGGAGACCGAAGGGUGAAAUGAGUCUAACUUCCUCCAUCAUGCCUUUUUCUAAGCAUAUCUAAUCCCAUUCAUGAAGGCAGAGCCCUCAUAACCUAAUCACCUCCAAAAGGCCCCACCUCUUAAUACUAUCACAUUUGUAAUAUUUGAUUUCUGGAGGGGAUAUACUUUCAAACCAUAGCAGAUGCUCAUGAAACUAGAAACAGUGGCUAAUGCCAGAGAAAGAAGCUGAGCAUCUGGGAAGUCUUACUUGUGGAUUUUACAUUAUAUGUUCCAUUCCCACAUGUAAAUACAUGAGUUAAUUGAAAUGGAAGAAAAUGAAGAAAGAUGGCGAAUUGUGUCAUGGAACAACGGACAGCAGUCAUAACAUAAUGGGUGAAAACAAAGCUCAAGUACAUGAGGAUGAUUAUAUCUUUAAUGGUAUCUCGAAGCUGUAAGAGAUCAUCAAGUCUUGACUUCUAUGUUAAAAAAGAAAGAAAACUGAUGACCCAUAUUUAAACUGAGACACAUGACAUUUCUGCUCUACUCAGCACUCUUCACUCAUCUAACAAAAAUUCAUUAUGGCUUCUUAUGUUCCAGGCACUGGGCUAGGUGUUUAAGGAAGACAGAGGGAGGAAAUAAAAAUUUUUAUAAAACAGUCUUUGUCCUCAAGCAGCUCACAGGGCAGAGAGACCCUGACAGAGUAGAGACUUCAUGAAGAGUGGGGAUGGGAAGGGCAUUCUCUCCACACGCAUCCCCGUCCCUCAGAGAUUUCCUCCUCAGAACGCUACCUCUUACUGCUUUCCUGUCUCACUCUUUCCAGCUCUCAGUUUAGAAGGUGUUUCCUCAGAGCACCCUUGCUGACCUCUCAAGUCUGGUGAAAGGCCCUUCUCACUGGUGCCUGGAUGCCCUGUGUACUCCUGUCAUGCACACAACACAGCAUAGUAAAAUGCCUGGUGUAUGUGUUUGUCUUUUCAAUACUUUGAGCUCUGCUCAUUGGCAAAUCUCAGGACAUAGCACAAGAUGUGGCCCCUAAAUGUUAACUGAAUGAAUGAAUGGAAUCACUGGUAUCUCUUUAGCUUGAAGAAUAGAAAGUCCUUGUAGGACAAAGAAGAUUGGGAGAAAUGUGAAGUCUGGUGUGAACUCUGUCAGAAGGCAGAACUGAACCAAUGCAUGGACUUAGAAGAGAGAGACUUCGGUUUCACAUCAGGAAUGAUGUCAUAGUCAGAACUCACCACUCACAUAAUAGGCUAGAUGAGGGAGGAGGGAGUCUUUCAUUGCAGGAGUUUUAAAGGUGAAUACAAGAAAUGGGAGGCACUUGGCCUGGUGUGGUGGCUCAGGCCUGUUAAUCCCAGCGCUUUGGGAGGCUGAGGUGGGUGGAUCACAAGGUCAGGAGUCAAGACCAGCCUGGUCAAGAUGGUGAAACCUGUCUCUACUGAAAUACAAAAAUUAGCCGGGUGCGGUGGCGAGCACCUAUAAUCCCAGCUACUUGGGAGGCUGAGGCAGAAGAAUCACUUGAACCGGGAAGGCAGGGGUUGCAGCGAGCCAAGUUUGAGCCACUGCACUCUAGCCUGGGCGACAGAGCAAGACUCCAUCU